AGAGUUUGAUCCUGGCUCAGAUUGAACGCUGGCGGCAGGCCUAACACAUGCAAGUCGAGCGGUAACAGAGAUAGCUUGCUAUCUGCUGACGAGCGGCGGACGGGUGAGUAAUGCAUAGGAAGUUGCCCAGUAGAGGGGGAUAACCAUUGGAAACGAUGGCUAAUACCGCAUAACCUCUUCGGAGCAAAGCGGGGGACCUUCGGGCCUCGCGCUACUGGAUACGCCUAUGUGGGAUUAGCUAGUUGGUGAGGUAAUGGCUCACCAAGGCGACGAUCCCUAGCUGGUCUGAGAGGAUGAUCAGCCACACUGGGACUGAGACACGGCCCAGACUCCUACGGGAGGCAGCAGUGGGGAAUAUUGCACAAUGGGCGCAAGCCUGAUGCAGCCAUGCCGCGUGUAUGAAGAAGGCCUUCGGGUUGUAAAGUACUUUCAGUCGUGAGGAAGGUAGUAGGAUUAAUACUCUUAUUAUUUGACGUUAGCGACAGAAGAAGCACCGGCUAACUCCGUGCCAGCAGCCGCGGUAAUACGGAGGGUGCGAGCGUUAAUCGGAAUUACUGGGCGUAAAGCGCAUGCAGGUGGUUUGUUAAGUCAGAUGUGAAAGCCCGGGGCUCAACCUCGGAAGGUCAUUUGAAACUGUCAAACUAGAGUACUGUAGAGGGGGGUAGAAUUUCAGGUGUAGCGGUGAAAUGCGUAGAGAUCUGAAGGAAUACCGGUGGCGAAGGCGGCCCCC
Molecule: ribosomal RNA, 730 nt
Filed under: uncultured bacterium
Lineage: Bacteria
Description: bacterial SSU rRNA
Rfam family: Bacterial small subunit ribosomal RNA
Source: RNAcentral